Molecule: transfer RNA, 61 nt
Filed under: Timmia megapolitana
Lineage: Eukaryota; Viridiplantae; Streptophyta; Bryopsida; Timmiales; Timmiaceae
Description: partial tRNA-Leu
Source: RNAcentral
CGCUACGGACUUAAAAUCCGUUGGCUUUAUUGACCGUGAGGGUUCAAGUCCCUCUACCCCC